RNAcentral lists this ribosomal RNA (529 nucleotides) under uncultured bacterium. RNAcentral's name for it is "partial 16S ribosomal RNA". It matches the Rfam family "Bacterial small subunit ribosomal RNA", at positions 355 to 900 of the family's 1533-position model. The record is from RNAcentral.
UGGGGAAUAUUGCACAAUGGGCGAAAGCCUGAUGCAGCAACGCCGCGUGAGUGAUGAAGGUCUUCGGAUUGUAAAGCUCUGUCUUUUGGGACGAUAAUGACGGUACCAAAGGAGGAAGCCACGGCUAACUACGUGCCAGCAGCCGCGGUAAUACGUAGGUGGCGAGCGUUGUCCGGAUUUACUGGGCGUAAAGGGUGCGUAGGCGGAUGUUUAAGUGAGAUGUGAAAUACCCGGGCUUAACUUGGGUGCUGCAUUUCAAACUGGAUAUCUAGAGUGCAGGAGAGGAGAAUGGAAUUCCUAGUGUAGCGGUGGAAUGCGUAGAGAUUAGGAAGAACACCAGUGGCGAAGGCGAUUCUCUGGACUGUAACUGACGCUGAGGCACGAAAGCGUGGGUAGCAAACAGGAUUAGAUACCCUGGUAGUCCACGCCGUAAACGAUGAGUACUAGGUGUAGGAGGUAUCGACCCCUUCUGUGCCGCAGUAAACACAUUAAGUACUCCGCCUGGGAAGUACGAUCGCAAGAUUAAAAC